AGCGAAUGCCCUUAAUCUAUGUUAAACUUUAUACGUAUCAGAUAUGUCGGGCACUGGCUUACAUACAUAAUUGCAUUGGUAUCUGUCACCGGGAUAUCAAACCUCAAAACUUACUUGUGAAUCCACAUACACAUCAGCUCAAACUUUGUGACUUUGGGAGUGCGAAAGUCUUGGUGAAAGGGGAACCUAAUGUUUCAUACAUCUGUUCAAGAU
Molecule: unclassified non-coding RNA, 213 nt
Filed under: Hevea brasiliensis (rubber tree)
Lineage: Eukaryota; Viridiplantae; Streptophyta; Magnoliopsida; Malpighiales; Euphorbiaceae
Source: RNAcentral